RNAcentral lists this ribosomal RNA (305 nucleotides) under uncultured bacterium. RNAcentral describes it as "bacterial SSU rRNA". It matches the Rfam family "Bacterial small subunit ribosomal RNA", at positions 333 to 634 of the family's 1533-position model. The record is from RNAcentral.
UGGCCCCUACGGGGGGCAGCAGUGAGGAAUAUUGGUCAAUGGGCGGAAGCCUGAACCAGCCACGUCGCGUGAGGGAAUAAGGCCCUACGGGUCGUAACCCUCUUUUGCCGGGGAGCAAGGGCCGGGACGCGUCCCGGCCCGGAGAGUACCCGGAGAAAAAGCAUCGGCUAACUCCGUGCCAGCAGCCGCGGUAAUACGUAGGUGGCAAGCGUUAUCCGGAUUUAUUGGGUGUAAAGGGCGUGUAGGCGGGAAUGCAAGUCAGAUGUGAAAACUAUGGGCUCAACCCAUAGCCUGCAUUUUAAACU